RNAcentral lists this ribosomal RNA (458 nucleotides) under uncultured bacterium. Its description in RNAcentral is "partial 16S ribosomal RNA". It matches the Rfam family "Bacterial small subunit ribosomal RNA", at positions 338 to 795 of the family's 1533-position model. The record is from RNAcentral.
CCUACGGGAGGCUGCAGUGAGUAAUAUUGGUCAAUGGGCGAGAGCCUGAACCAGCCAAGUCGCGUGAGGGAGUACUGCCCUAUGGGUUGUAAACCUCUUUUGUCGGGGAGCAAAAGCCGGACGUGUCCGGCUGUGAGAUUAACCGAAGAAAAAGCAGCGGCUAAUUCCGUGCCAGCAGCCGCGGUAAUGCGGAGGAUGCGAGCGUUAUCCGGAUUUGUUGGGUUUAAAGGGUGCGCAGGCGGAUUUUUAAGUCAGCGGUAAAAUCGUGGGGCUCAACCCCAACCAGCAGUUGAAACUGGGGAUCUAGAGUGUGCGAGAGGGAUGCGGAAUGCGUGGGGUAGCGGUGAAAUGCAUAGAUAUCACGCAGAACCCCGAUUGCGAAGGCAGCAUACCGGUGCACAACUGACGCUCAGGCACGAAAGCGUGGGUAUCGAACAGGAUUAGAUACCCCAGUAGUC